CAUCCUGGGGAGGGGCUUUGAGAGGAUUCAGAUCAUCCCAGGAGCCAAACACGGGAACAUCCAGAUUAUUGCUGAUGUGAGGAAGCAGUGAGGAAUCCGCUGUAUAGUGAUCAUGCUCUCUGCCCUUUAACCUCUCAAAUCUGAAUAUAUACGCCAAUGAAUCUAAUUUUAUCUCGAGUAUGAAGGGAUCUGUAAUAUACUUGACUGUAUGUAAUGAGAAAAUAAAUUAAUGCAACAUCCAUUA
This is a long non-coding RNA of Carassius carassius (crucian carp), 244 nucleotides long. RefSeq lists it as uncharacterized. The transcript is spliced from 2 exons. NCBI's taxonomy places the organism in Eukaryota, Metazoa, Chordata, Actinopteri, Cypriniformes, Cyprinidae. The record is from RefSeq and is a predicted model, not a curated record.